Molecule: long non-coding RNA, 2839 nt
Organism: Cydia fagiglandana
Lineage: Eukaryota; Metazoa; Arthropoda; Insecta; Lepidoptera; Tortricidae
Exons: 2
Source: RefSeq, a predicted model, not a curated record
ACUAGUUCUCGGCCUGUUUCGGAGUCUCUCGACGAGUGUAUACACUGUCCUCCUAAGCCGAAUAGCGGUAUCUCAAAAAGCAAUGUAUUUUCAGAUAAAGAAUGUGAGGUAUGUGUUUGCAUUAUUUUUUUAUUUGAAAUACCGCGAAUUGUUUGUAACAGCCCCCAUUAUAUAUAAGAAAACUAACAAACAAACGCACAAAUAUUAACAGAAUAGACUUUCCACUACUGGACAACUCUCCCGUGUACAAGAUAGUGACACCCUUUCAAUUAUUUUAUAGUUUUAUCCUAAGCAACUUUAGCAUUUUAUAUUGUAUUUAAUUUUUGACCACUAUAAACUAUGAGCGAGCUAUGGCAGAUAAUUAAAAAAACACAAUAAAUAAUACCAUUUUAGGUACACAAUAAAAUAAGCAAAAUUAAACCUUUAGAAUGGCCAAAGUCACGAGAAAGGAGGCAUACUUGAAAUACUGCAUAGUUUUUUUUCCAACGUAUUUUCAUGGAAACUUACGAACGUGUCUUGCUAUUUCAUUCAGUCUCGGUACAAAAAGUACUGAGGUAGACAGAAUUAGCAUGAUAAAUACGAACGUUUCUAAGAGAAUACGAUGGAAAACAAUUAUGCACUAAAUCUGUAUAUAGUCGCGGAAGCACAUAAAUAUGAAUUUUCAUCGUCUAAUGUCUAAAACGGACGUUUUACAGCGGAAUCAUGGUGUCCCUCUUUAACCUGACACGCUCUCUUUCUCUCGCUAGUAUGCUUUAAUUACUGCUUGAAGCAGUCGAACCGCUGACAGAAGGUUAUGCGCCUUUCUAGUGACGAAAAUAGUUAACAAAAAGUCAAACUAGAUUUUAAUGUUACAUAGGUUUUGGUCAUUAAAUUUCAAAUCGUGAAACUGUUAUGUACAUGAGAGCAAAGGUAUUUUAUGCUAGUUAAGUCUCAAGUAAGCGAAAGAUAAUCACAAGCGUAGCGAGUGAUUCUUAUCUGGAAUCUUAAGCUUAGCGAGAAACUCUAAAGUAUGGAGCAAUAUCUUUGGUCUCGUGUGACAGUUAAUUAUUGUUAACAUUUAUGUGAAGCUUUUUUGUCAAUCUAUACAAAAAAAAAUUGAAUGGCAAUUAUAAAUUUAUGUAAUUUCCCUUUCACCGCCAUACAGUAUGCUAAGUGUCACUUACAGAUAACUUAUAAAUAAGUUACUUUGACACCACCAUGACUAUUAUAAGAGUAUACUAAACGUCUGAAGACGUUUUUAGCGUUGAAAGGGUUAAAAUGAAUGCCUGCUAUAUUACUUUGUGCAAAAGUUUGUAUACUAUUUACAAUACAAUUGACAGUUAUUUAGAUGUAAAUAAUAAUUGUUAUUAUUACAAAUUAAGUAUUAUAGAGGCAAUACAUUAUGCAUGUUAUUUGGAUUAGGACGCGUCGUUGUGAAGAACUUGAAAUGCAUUUCAUCAUACAAAGUGACUUGUAAUUCAAUGAAAUAUUUUGCAUUAGGUAGGUACCUAUAUUAUUUAUAUCUGCUUGUAUUUGCAUUACACAAAUGUAUUAUACGUAUUUAGUUAGGUGCUAUUAAAUUGAACUAAUUCAUAAAUAAUUCAAUUUAGGCUUGCCCGAAAAAAAAAAUCACAAACUUAUCUAGGUAGUUAUAAUUUGGUUUUGCUUAUCUAUUUAUAUAUUUUUUCAAUAAAGUAAAAAAAAAGUUGCAUAGAAUUAGACCAAGAAAAGUCUGCAGCGAUUUUGAUAGCCCACGCAGUGCAAGUUUUAUUUAUAAUAAUUUCAUAGCUGCGUGGGCUAUCGAAAUCGCUGCAGACUUUUCUUGGCCUAACUCUAACAGUUGUGUUAUAAAACUAUCGACAUGUUACCUACGUUAAGAACCAAUAAAUGUUUCGUGUUCAAAGCAUUGAAAUUAUUUUAGGGUCGAUUGCACAAAUCUGUCUGUCACCGUUAAAGCGUUCGCUAAAUUUUAUUGUAUGAGAGGUUUCAUAGUUCACGGCCGACUGCCGUUGAUCGGUCUGUCAAGUGUGGAUUCUGCAACUGGCCCUUAGGCUAGGCACACAGUCAAUUAAAAAUCGGUUACGGUUUAACUACAUUUAAGUGCAAUAAAUGCUUUAAUUUUUUGAGGCAGCGAAGUUGUUACAAAACUAUACGACGUACUUUGUGCCUAAGACGGUUCUUAUUCUAGCCUACUUUCAAAAUGUCAUACUUUUAUAAGUGUGUAAGUUCUAUGCGUCCGUUUUCGCUAAAGCCGGGUCCAGACGGAUGUAACGUGUAAUGUAAGAUUGCGUGUAAUAUAGCGCCGUCGACGUGUGGACGCACGUUAAGAAUCGACAGGCGAUGGAUCCGGCACGAGUGCUGUAGUAUGAAAUGCUCGUAGUACCGUCCACACGCAGUAUUCAUGCAUGUUACAUUACACCAGGCGUGGCUCACUCCGCGAUUUCGUCGCUUUGCUACAGGUAGCUAAAAGUACAUCCGUUCCACACCAAUUUUGGUGGCUAGCCAUAAGUCGCGCGUGGCACUGUCGCCACCUAGCGACCAUAUCUGUGCUGAUCGUAACAGACGCGUUUUGUUAGAGAGUGAGUUUUCUGUACCUAUUACUGUUAUUUAUUCAGUGAUUACACGAUGGAUUACACGUUACAGCUGUCUGGACCCGGCUUAAUAGACAAAACUGCAAGUUGAUAUUAAAAAUAAGAAAAAUUAAAUGAAAUGACGAUGCUAUCUUAGUCGCAAUUAAGUACUUCAGUUCAUUAGAUACUCGUACUUUGGGAAGUCACGAAAUGCAUUUCAUGGUCCAUGUUAAAAAUUGCAAACAACUAAACUAAAUAUAAGAUUUGUUAAUAAAUUUUAUUUUGAACAA